Molecule: ribosomal RNA, 497 nt
Filed under: uncultured bacterium
Lineage: Bacteria
Description: partial 16S ribosomal RNA
Rfam family: Bacterial small subunit ribosomal RNA
Source: RNAcentral
GAUGAACGCUGGCGGCGUGCCUAAUACAUGCAAGUCGAGCGAACAGACGAGGCGCUUGCUCCUCUGACGUUAGCGGCGGACGGGUGAGUAACACGUGGAUCACCUACCUAUAAGACUGGGAUAACUUCGGGAAACCGGAGCUAAUACCGGAUAAUAUAUUGAACCGCAUGGUUCAAUAGUGAAAGACGGUUUUGCUGUCACUUCUAGAUGGAUCCGCGCCGCAUUAGCUAGUUGGUAAGGUAACGGCUUACCAAGGCAACGAUGCGUAGCCGACCUGAGAGGGGGAUCGGCCACACUGGAACUUAGACACGGUCCAGACUCCUACGGGAGGCAGCAGUAGGGAAUCUUCCGCAAUGGGCGAAAGCCUGACGGAGCAACGCCGCGUGAGUGAUGGAGGUCUUCGGAUCGUAAAACUCUGUUAUUAGGGAAGAACAAAUGUGUAAGUAACUAUGCACGUCUUGACGGUACCUAAUCAGAAAGCCACGGCUAACUACGUG